Molecule: ribosomal RNA, 492 nt
Filed under: uncultured bacterium
Lineage: Bacteria
Description: partial 16S ribosomal RNA
Rfam family: Bacterial small subunit ribosomal RNA
Source: RNAcentral
AGUGAACGCUGGCGGUAGGCCUAACACAUGCAAGUCGAACGGCAGCACAGUAAGAGCUUGCUCCUACGGGUGGCGAGUGGCGGACGGGUGAGGAAUACAUCGGAUUCUACUUUUUCGUGGGGGAUAACGUAGGGCAACAUACGAUACUACCGCAUACGUUCUACGGGUUGAAGCAGGGGUUCUUCGCACCUUGCGUGUUAGUAAGAGACGAUGUCGGAUUAGCUAGUUGGCGAGGUAAAGGCACACCAAGGCGACGAAGCGUAGCUGGUCUGAGAGGAUGAUCAGCCACACUGGAACUGAGACACGGUCCAGACUCCUACGGGAGGCAGCAGUGGGGAAUAUUGGACAAUGGGCGCAAGCCUGAUCCAGCCAUACCGCGUGAGUGAUGAAGGCCUUCGGGUUGUAAAGCCCUGUUGUUAGGGAAGAAAAGCAGCAGGUUAAUACCCCGCUGUUCUGACGGUACCCAAAGAAUAAGCACCGGCUAACUUCGUG